Molecule: long non-coding RNA, 2361 nt
Filed under: Triticum aestivum (bread wheat)
Lineage: Eukaryota; Viridiplantae; Streptophyta; Magnoliopsida; Poales; Poaceae
Description: long non-coding RNA (TAES_LNC018175)
Source: RNAcentral
UUGCGCCGCUGUACGUUGUGCUCAAGCCCUGUUUUUCUUCUAUUCCCCUUUCCAAGUCUUCCUCUCAUCUUAUCCAUUGGAGGCCGCAGCCGUCAGGUCGCUGCUGCUGCUGGUGGCGUGAUUGCCAUCGCUGUGAGAUUGCUGCUGUUCUUGGCGCCGCUUCUCGUCGUGGUCGCUGCCGUGUGGAGGCUGCUCCCGCUCCCCUGCUCCUUGCGUCGUCGUGGCCGCCGCUGCUGCCGGUGGAGCACGGGCUGCUGCUGGCCAUCGGCCCACCCCCGGUCUAUUGCUUCUCCAACUCCUUGUGUCACUCUUGGUUCGAUCUUUAGCACUGGAGAAACAUAGUUCCUGUAGGUGGGUUAGCAUCUUGGCUGGAUUGUUUGAUGUGGCCUGUUUUGCCUGUUCAGGUAUGCCAACAGCUUGACGAACAUGUCUAUAUGCGCGUAAGCAAUUAAACCUGGGGAGAGGAGUUAGUUUGCAAGUUAUAAUUCUGUUUUAUCUUACACGUGAGGAUUAAAAAUGCUCUUGUACACUGGUUUUCCCUUGCUGUACAUCACUGAACUUGGUUCAGUUAAAAACUGCAGUGCCUGACAGUUCUGGACAGCAAGCUUCUAUCUAAAAAAUGAGUUAGCUAUGCUUAGAAUUUAUAGUUGGCCCCUUUACAUAAGUUCUAGAUAAAGUUCCAAGGUUUCCGUAGAGUACUUAUUUGCUUCAUUUGGAUCUAUGGUUUGAGAGCAGCCAUCAUUUUAGUUUUCUGUCCUGAAAUUUAUGUUCCUGGGGUGCAGAAUUUGUUGUAUGGCAGUUUAGGCCAUGCUAGAGGUUUAAUUAAAUUAAAGUCACAACACAAAAAUUGUAGAGGAUAUUCUGCAGAUGCUUAAACAUAUAGUAUUUGUUAGAUUUCGUGUUAUACACUAAAUCCUAUGAAAUUAUUAAGAUGACUGUACUAUGUUGGACAGAAUUUUACGUUUGACUUGGUGAUUGUAACUAGACUUAUACUAAGAUUUUGUCAUCGUUGAUGAUAUGAGGACUUAUAAUGUGAUAACGUACGUAUGAGCUGGGGUCUUGUGCGUAGGAGCGCCACUAAAUUAUAUAUUCUUAUGUGUUGAGACCAUGCUUUGCUGUGACUGGGAUAUAUGCUUGAUGACAAGUGUGGGUACUUCGAGUUCGGAACCGUUUGCCUCACAAUUUGUGCCCUGCGGUUGAGGCAAGUUCACGACGGGAUAAUGACUUGCAUAAUCUCUCAUUCCAUUUUUUAUUUAUGAUAUCUUCCAUGUCAAUGAUGUUUAUUAUGAUGGCGAUGACGAUGACCAUGAUAUGUUGAUUCAAGUACUAUGGUUGCAUUUGCAUACUUGCACUCAUGAUGAUGGUGAAUGAAGGCGUGCACUACCUUGGUGGGCACAUUGAGACCUUCAUUGUUGGGUUGCGACCUACUUUGGAGGCAACCUCCACAUAUUGGAGUGAGUGGAUGUCGACGGGCGUCCACUCAAGCUAUCCAGGUAUACGCAAUGAAAUGAGAUGAGCAUGUAGGCAUGUAGGGCACCAUUAUAUGUGUUGGAACACUAAUGAGUGUAUGGUGUUAACCGAGUCUUGGUAUAUUGAUAUGAGUACUGUUUAUUAUUCCUUUAUGAACUUGCUGAGUCUUUGUACUCGUCCUUGUUGCUUAUAUGUUUUAGGUAAAUCCUGAGAACGACAUGCAUGGGAGUCUUCGGAGUACCAUCCUCCUCGCCGCACGGGCCUCCUCCUUGCCGGAGUGACGCCCCUCGCCGGAGCAGCGCCGGCCAAGCCCAUUGGCCACCAGGUGUUGUUCCUACUCCUCUACCUACUACAGCAGCACAAUGUUCUUCUAUAUUGCAAUAGAGUAGGAGUAUUUGCUAGAGUAGCUAGGACGUACAGCUAUUGUUAAUUGCCGCCAUGUGUAUUGUUUUGUUAGAGCAGAUGGCUCCCAUGAUCCCAUCAAUUUUGCAUCGCUGGAUGCUUUAUGUACACAUGCACGGAUCUGUCAUAACUUUACACUAAUUUAAGAUUGUGUUGAUCUGAAGUGCUGGCUCCUACAGCAUUGCAUUUCACUUGAAAUGCUACAUUUCUACUCCUAACCCAUUCUCCCUUUCUUAGUGUUUUUGUUAUGCAGGUUGGAAGAAAAGAAGAAGAUCCAGAGAAGAUCUUAGUAAUAAGAUAGUUUUGACUUUGUGAAACUUGCUACCUAUGGAUGAAACUGUGUAAUAUUGAUGAAACUAUGUAUAUGUAUGGAUGAAACUUGCUACUAUUGGUAACAUGUGUUGGAUAUAUAUGUGUUCAUGACUAUUGGUAAUAUGUGUUGGAUAUGCUAUAUUGGUCUUAUAUAUAUAAGAAAAAACAGAAUUAAAU